GGGCCGCCAUCAGAGGGGCCUGUCUCGCUCCCCCAGACACAGAGCCUCUGUUUUCCUCACUCCAGGCCUGGAGUCCCCUGCUUAACAGCUUGGAUUGAAGAGGCUUGUCCGGGGGUACUGAGACCUUGCAGAUCAUUCCAGGAGCCGCCUCCAUCCAAGGCCAACAGCUUCAUCAGGCCGCAGGCCUGGGAGUGCCCGCGUCAUUUUUCUUCCCUGCCUGGCCGUCACCCUGCAGCCCAGGUUGUUGGAACACCCUCCCCUGGACCCUGGGCCCCUGGAGCUACCUGCAGCUGUCCUGAUCCGCGGAGGCCUCCUUUUGUGGAGGGCUCUUCCUGUGACUCCGGCCUCCAGCCGGCCGACCCGCCGGGGCAGCAGGCCAGCGCCGAGCGCGGCCCGGAGCCUUGGAAAAUGCGAGCUCAGAGUAGAGCCCUCUCCUGCUGGAAGAGAUGGCUUUGGAAGCAGAACCCGCCCCAAACCCAAUUCCUGGCCCGGCAGGAGGGGGAGGGGGAGGGGAGUAGGAGGAGGGGCU
RNAcentral lists this non-coding RNA (529 nucleotides) under Pongo abelii (Sumatran orangutan). Lineage: Eukaryota; Metazoa; Chordata; Mammalia; Primates; Hominidae. The record is from RNAcentral.